Molecule: long non-coding RNA, 1145 nt
Organism: Pangasianodon hypophthalmus (striped catfish)
Lineage: Eukaryota; Metazoa; Chordata; Actinopteri; Siluriformes; Pangasiidae
Exons: 4
Source: RefSeq, a predicted model, not a curated record
GGUUGAAUACUGUGAAUGAUGAUACGUUGUUGGAGCGAAUUAUUGAUCGCAAGCUACUGUUUAAUUUUACGGUAUAAAACAGUAUUUUUUAAGUCUAGUCACGUGUGCGACGCUGUUACCUGAGACAGCUCAUAACUCCUCAGAGCCACGACGCAUCAUGAUCAAGGGAGGAAGAGUUCAAGAAGACGAUUUUUUUUCGCCCCGACUGUGAGCUGCCAGCACCACCAAACUGAACGACAUAUUCUAGCGGCAUGGUGAUUUCCUCAUCGCCUACUUAAGAGUCAGUGAGGGAGCAGCUGCAGCAAACAGGAACUCGAGUCCAGACUGAUAAUAUUUUUCAGGAUUUGUGUCUGCUACUAUAGCAGAUGUUGAGUGCACCCUGACCCUCCCCGCCACUCCACGACUGAUACUGCUGUGUCCUGGUGAUGAAGCCACAACUGGUGGAUGUAUGAUCAGCAUCGAAAACCAUGUCAUCUGUGAAGGUGUCCGCCAAAGCUUCAUCACAGGGCUGGCUGCAGUUUUCGCAACAUACUAUGUCUUUAACUUAUAGUACCAAGAGGAAGCCUCAAGGACCCUGGAGUUUGUUCAAAGGCGCUUCAUUGGUUUGAACCCUGAGAGAGGAACAAAGGCCAGCCAGGUGAAGGUGGUAUCCAAGAAGACAGGGAAACUUGUCCAUAAAAAAGGCUGCAACUGUGAAUCCCCAUAUGGCCACCCUCAUUAAAAACCUUUUGGACUAUGAGUGGGGCUUUGUUCAGUAAUGCAAAGUCAGAGCAGUGAGUUCUGCAACUAUAGUAGAUGUUCAUGUGAAGUAACAGCAUUCUGUUCUACAACCACAUCUUCGUGCAAACUCACAGCAUUCUGUUCUGCAACCAGAUGUUCCUAUGAAGUCUGCGCAGUGUUCUGCUAAUCAGUGUUCAUGUGAAAUCACAGCACUUUGUUCUGGAACCACAUCUUUAUGUAAACUCAGCAUUGUGUUCUGCAAUCACAUCUUCGUGUAAAUUCAUAGCAUUCUGUUCUGCAACCAAAUGUUCACGUGAAGUCAGAGCAUUGUGUUCUGUUCGAUCGCAAUGGUGAAGUGGAAAUGAUGUUAAUGAAUGCAUUUCAUAUACUAUUGACUUUAAUAAAAGCUUAAUGUUUUAAAGCCA